This is a long non-coding RNA of Perca fluviatilis (European perch), 418 nucleotides long. RefSeq lists it as uncharacterized. The transcript is spliced from 3 exons. The record is from RefSeq and is a predicted model, not a curated record. NCBI's taxonomy places the organism in Eukaryota, Metazoa, Chordata, Actinopteri, Perciformes, Percidae.
UGCUGAAAGGUUUCAGGGUUCGUUUGGUUUCGAUCGUUUUCUCAAAUUGAGCUACUGACGCCGUUUAAAAGAAAACACUGUUACACACGUAUGUCAUGUUCAAGUCCCCAUCCCGACCACGCCCAUCCCCCACUCUGGCCAUGUGGCCAGUGUGUAUACCGGAGUCCCCAUGGUGUCCAGCCCCUCCCCUCACGUAAGCUGUGAACUCUGCGUCAGAUCUUCACUGCAUGGACGAGAGCAGGCUGGAGUCAUGGAUCAGGGAGAGAUGGAAGAAGAUUUGACAACCAUUCAUGGUCACCGUGACAGCCCUUUAAAUUCUUCAGGAAAUGGACCAGAGCUCUUCUGACUCUACAGUGAUCCUUGAACUAAGUUCCGUCCCUGAAAAGGAGGACAUAAGUGUUCCUGAACUCAAGAGAGC